RNAcentral lists this transfer RNA (85 nucleotides) under Felis catus (domestic cat). It matches the Rfam family "tRNA". From Rfam's summary of the family: Transfer RNA (tRNA) molecules are approximately 80 nucleotides in length. Their secondary structure includes four short double-helical elements and three loops (D, anti-codon, and T loops). The record is from Rfam by way of RNAcentral. Lineage: Eukaryota; Metazoa; Chordata; Mammalia; Carnivora; Felidae.
GCCUGGGUGGCUCAGUCGGUUGAGCGACUGGCUUCGGCUUAGGUCAUGAUCUCGUGGUCUGUGGGUUCGAGCCCCACGUCGGGCU